Molecule: long non-coding RNA, 896 nt
Filed under: Ananas comosus (pineapple)
Lineage: Eukaryota; Viridiplantae; Streptophyta; Magnoliopsida; Poales; Bromeliaceae
Description: long non-coding RNA (ACOM_LNC002504)
Source: RNAcentral
AUAUAAUUAAUCCAAAAUUCAUCACAAUUCGAUCUAACUAUUUAAUGCAUAUAAUAUCAACUUAUCGCUUGGCUCUGAUACCAAUUGAUAGAAUUUCAAGGUAUGUAAAAUAAAUAGAAAAUAAAUACAUACCAAGAUUCAGGAUCAUAAUAAAAUAAAACAACUCACAGAACGCCACAGAGAAGAAAUUCUUGAUCAAUCUUGCGGAAGCAUGAAGUCCGGCUAUGAUCUGAAAGUCACGAACUGAACUUGGGUGAUUUGGUUUCUCCUCCUAUCUCAGGCACUCUGCCGUAUGGUGUGGAACCGAUGGUAAUUCUUCACCAGAAUGCGUAUGAGAAGGUGGCAGGACCAAUACCCCGUUAUAUAGAGUCCAGAUCGACUUCCCAUCAAAGUCUGAUUAGGAUUCUAUUUAAACUUUGAAAUAGAUGGGAUAGGGAUAAAAUAUACCAUAUCAAGUAGUUCUAUAUCUGUUAGGAUUGGCCUUUAUCUAUAGCAAAUCCUAAUUUAAAUAUGAUUAAUUGGGCCACAAAAUAUGGAAAUCCUAACAAAUAAAUCACAAUGUUGAUACACAUCUUUUUGUUUGUAUUUGGUAAGGGAAAAUACUGGGUUUCUUGUGAUGAAGAAAUACUCACAAUUGAUUCUAUCUAUGAUAAUGAUUUAGAUUAUAUAUAAUUAAUUACUGUCAUUCAUCUCAUCUCAACUUUCAAUUCAAUCUGACAACUGCAAAUUUAUUAUCUAAACUCUUUCAUAUUAUCACUUGCAAUCGUGCUACUUGUUUACCGCUCUCCUUCCAACAAUUUUAAAAUUUUUGAUAUUUAAAACAAUUAUAUUUUGAAAACGGGGGAGAGAUUUAAAACAGAUGACGAUUAAAAUAUUUAUGUAGUGAUAAACAUUAU